This 659-nucleotide long non-coding RNA is filed under the name Marmota monax (woodchuck). The record is from RNAcentral. Lineage: Eukaryota; Metazoa; Chordata; Mammalia; Rodentia; Sciuridae.
GGUUUUUUUUUUUUUUAAAUUUAUACCUUACAGACCUGGAAUUUAAGGAACUACCCCAUUGGGUGCUCAGCCAAAUGGCCAGCUAUUCCAAUGCUGAGCCGCAGUUUUAAGUUGUUUUCAAGGAUGUUUUGACUUUGUGGGUUUUCACUUUAAAUGUUUUCAGAGAUGACUACAGACACUAACAGUGAGACCAGAUUCUUUGAUCCUGCAACAGGAGUUACAGCAGCAGGUGCCAUCAUAGAGUGGGAGUUCCUGAGCAGUAGGGCACAUUUCCCAGAGGGGACGGAGGGGAGGAGAAGAAAGGGUAGAGACAGUGGGGAAGUAGACUUGAUAGGAAGAUGUGGGGGAUCAAGGGGGACCUCUGAAGUUUCAACUUGGUCAGCCAAGCGUCUGGUGAACCAUUCAGAUGAGGAGCCACUGGCAGAGCCACUGGGCGGUCUGGUGCCUGCCAGUGCCCACGUCAGCAACCCACACAGAGAGGAAAGGCAGGGGCUGCAAAGCAGACUUGGAAGUUACUGGUGAUUGAGGACAUAGGAACCACACACACACACACACCAGAGGGAAGAAGGCCAGAUAUGGGGUGUGCAUGGAGAGAACCUUCCAAGCCAUCCAAGAAGGAGCAGUGAAAGAAAGCAGAAAAUAGCAGAGUGCAGGAAAAG